RNAcentral lists this ribosomal RNA (492 nucleotides) under uncultured bacterium. Its description in RNAcentral is "partial 16S ribosomal RNA". It matches the Rfam family "Bacterial small subunit ribosomal RNA", at positions 29 to 507 of the family's 1533-position model. The record is from RNAcentral.
AGUGAACGCUGGCGGUAUGCCUAACACAUGCAAGUCGAACGGAAGCACAGUAAGAUCUUGCCCUUACGGUUGGCGAGUGGCGGACGGGUGAGACAUACAUCACAUUCCACUUUUUCUGGGGUGAUAACGUAGGGCAGCUUACGCUACUACCUCAUACGAUCUACCGCUGAAAUCAGGGGAUCUUCGGACUUUUCCCGACUCAAUUAGCCGAUGUCGGAUUAGCUAGUUGGCGGGGUAAAGGCCCACCAAGGCGACGAUCCGUAGCUGGUCUGAGAGGAUGAUCAGCCACACUGGAACUGAGACACGGUCCAGACUCCUACGGGAGGCAGCAGUGGGGAAUAUUGCACAAUGGGCGAAAGCCUGAUCCAGCAAUACCGCGUGGGUGAUGAAGGCCUUCGGGUUGUAAAGCCCUUUUGUUGGGAAAGAAAAGCAGCAGGUUAAUACCCCGAUGUUCUGACGGUACCCAAAGAAUAAGCACCGGCUAACUUCGUG